AACAAAGUGCCUGAGUAUAGGGUCAUUUUGAUAGAAUGGAAAACGUGAGAUAGACCACCUUUGUUA
This 66-nucleotide transfer RNA is filed under the name Euphaea formosa. Its description in RNAcentral is "tRNA-Ile". Lineage: Eukaryota; Metazoa; Arthropoda; Insecta; Odonata; Euphaeidae. The record is from RNAcentral. RNAcentral also lists the same sequence under 1 other name.